UGGUUCCGCCGGCAACUGGAGACCAUUUUCGCGUGUAAAGCGAAUGUGAUAACCACUACACUACGGAACC
Non-coding RNA from Araneus ventricosus, 70 nucleotides. The record is from the annotation of a GenBank genome assembly. Lineage: Eukaryota; Metazoa; Arthropoda; Arachnida; Araneae; Araneidae.